This 247-nucleotide ribosomal RNA is filed under the name uncultured bacterium. RNAcentral's name for it is "partial 16S ribosomal RNA". It matches the Rfam family "Bacterial small subunit ribosomal RNA", at positions 84 to 334 of the family's 1533-position model. The record is from RNAcentral.
UUUGCUGACGAGUGGCGGACGGGUGAGUAAAGCUUGGGAAUCUGUCUUAUGGAGGGGGAUAACUACGGGAAACUGUAGCUAAUACCGCAUAAAAUCUGAGGAUAAAAGGGUGGGCUCUUCGGACCACCUGCCAUAAGGUGAGCCCAAGUGGGAUUAGGUAGUUGGUGGGGUAAAGGCCUACCAAGCUGACGAUCUCUAGCUGGUCUGAGAGGAUGACCAGCCACACUGGAACUGAGACACGGUCCAG